GAACAAAAAACUGGGACAGGAACCAGAAUAUUGUCUUGCAAGGACAGGGACAUUGAAGUACCUGGUAGGGUAGGGUUAUCAUGUUAGCACAAGUAACAUAGGAGCAACUAGAAAAUGGAUUUGUCUGAAUAAACUAAGAACAAGUUCUCUGCUAAAUCUCUCUCUAAGGACUGAUCAACUAGCCAUCUUUUUCCUUAAACCAUUUUCAGAUUGAGCACAAAUUCCAAGCCCAAGAAGAAGUGUGCAGGCAGGCAUGGUAUGCAAUCGCUGGGUAGGAACAAGUGCCAGGCAGAAUCUACCAUGACGUAUUUCAUAAAUCUUUUACAAGUUUACAAUGAGAAAAUAAAUUUCAAUACUACAAUUUAAUCAUAUUCAGUUAAUUCAGAGAGAUACUAGGCUUUAUGCAUGAGAGAUAACAUACUUUUAGGCACUAAAACAUAAUUUUAUUAGCAGCAGAGGAUAAAAAAAAAAAGGUCAUGAAAGGGGAAGUAAUGUAAAUAUUGUGAUAUAUAAACUUGGAAGUAAAAUACCACAUUCAGAAUAUGCUGGACUUAUAGAUGAAUAAAAUCAAUAAAACAUGAAAAACUUGAUCACCUAAAUCAUCAUACCAACUUCAUCUAUCGCAUAAUGGGGUGACUUGCUGCACAAGGGCUCCCAACAAUGCUAGAUUUUGAGGAUGAGCAGUGCAUUCAGCUUUGCUCCUGCAAGUAAAGAACUUGUUUAUUAUUUACUCUACUAUGAGUUAGAUUAAUGGCAUACUUCAUAUACUGAUGUCAUGUGAUUAGGAGUAAAUGUAGAACAUGAAUUUACUGCCGAACAUUUUACAAAGGUGGUCGGAAGCACUUUUAUGCUGUGAUGCAGUCAUGUCCUUUUCAAGGAUGACAACGACAUUCGAUCACAUGAAUGAUGUGAAUAAUGAACAUAAAAUGUACUAGAAAAUAAAUGAGACUGAUACGAUUAAGGUACAAAGGAUGUGUCAGCUGAUCUUUGAAGAACUAUUCAAUAAUAAUAUGAUAACAAGUGCACAAAAAUUGUAAACUUAAGAAGAGAACUUACAUUUACCACAGCAAAGCUCAAAAUCCAACCAAAAAAAAGAUAGAAUUGCUGCCAGAAACAACCACUAAUCCUAUCUUCGGCAUGCGAGUCUAAACCAAAUUUUGUUCUACAAUUUUUUAGUCUCAUAAAAAGGAAAUGGAAGUUGAAUUUGCAGCUGCAAGGUUUCUUCAGUGGAUGGAGGAACAAUGAUAUAAUCAGAGAACCAGGUUUUGUCAUUUUAAUUUAAAGCAUUAAGUUGGCUUUUAUGCAUCUCUUGUGUGCAUUUCUCUACAUCAUUUGUCAAGUUUCAACCUGCAAGUUCUGCACCAAGAUAUACAACUUGAGAACUAACCACAAUCUCAUUCCCCACCUUUGCUUGCAGAUCCCUUUGCACAACUAAUACCAACAUGUACUAGUGUUAUUUUGGAUAUAUAACUUCCCAUCAUUUAAAUCUGGCACCAAGAGUAACCUCUGUCGUCUUAUCUGAUGCAUCAUGAUUAUCCAGCUAACAAGUCAAGAAGAUAAGAUAGACAAAAAAAAAGAAAAGAAACUCAAUCUCUCUGCUUGUUUUGUCAAAGUCUCUGAGUCCAUACGAAAAUUGAAAAGGAGGAGGGCACCAAUAGAGACUUAGCUUUGAAUGAACUCACACCCUACUGCUACACUCUCAGUGAUAAUGAAGCCAACAUAACCAAAGAAACCCCCAAAUUAAUUGGACGAUGUCCUCAUAUAUGACUCAAUCAAACAAGUUUCUUCAAUUUGGCAGUAUCGAUGUGACCAUCAAACUUGGAUUCUUGCUCUCUUACAAAUAUUUGUUCUCUGUUGAUGCAAAUUUCUGGCAUCCUUCCAGCCAUUUAAUAUAACCUACAAUUGUUACUUCUCAUCCCCAUUGUGUCUCUAUUCAAACAUCAAUCAUAACUUCAUGUUUCGUAGGAUUCAUCUAAAACGCAUAGACAACUAAUAAAAUAAGAUGGGUUUUUGUCCAACCUCUUUAUCGAUCUCCUACAAGCGCUUCCAUGCCUUCGAUCGCAUGCGCAGAGAGGGAGCAGCCAUUGCCUCGUGCCUUCGAUACAACGACCGGAACAUGAAAGAGGAGAAAUCGGAGGAUGUGAACUCCGAGGUCGGGAUCGGGAACCCUAAUUUUAGCAACGGGGGAGACGUCAAUCAUAAAUUU
This 2206-nucleotide long non-coding RNA is filed under the name Musa acuminata (dwarf banana). Its description in RNAcentral is "long non-coding RNA (MACU_LNC003517)". Lineage: Eukaryota; Viridiplantae; Streptophyta; Magnoliopsida; Zingiberales; Musaceae. The record is from RNAcentral.